Molecule: ribosomal RNA, 420 nt
Filed under: uncultured bacterium
Lineage: Bacteria
Description: bacterial SSU rRNA
Rfam family: Bacterial small subunit ribosomal RNA
Source: RNAcentral
GCUACCAAAACGUUAGUGGCGGACGGGUGACGUAACACGUGAGCAACCUACCUCGUGAGAGCGGAAUACGCUCUGGAACGGAUGGUAAUACUAGCAUGACAUUGCGAAACCGCAUGAUUUUGCAAUCAAAAGAAUUCGCUCAGAGAUGGGCUCGCGCCUGAUUAGCUAGAUGGUGAGGUAACGGCUCACCAUGGCGACGAUCAGUAGCCGGACUGAGAGGUUGAACGGCCACAUUGGGACUGAGACACGGCCCAGACUCCUACGGGAGGCAGCAGUGGGGAAUAUUGCACAAUGGGCGAAAGCCUGAUGCAGCGAUGCCGCGUGGAGGAAGAAGGUUUUCGGAUUGUAAACUCCUUUUUCAGGGACGAUAAUGACGGUACCUGAAGAAGAAGCUCCGGCUAACUACGUGCCAGCAGCUGC